GUCCCCAUCGUCUAGUGGUUAGGACACCGCUCUUUCAAGGCGGAGACCGGGGUUCAACUCCCCGUGGGGACACCA
This 75-nucleotide transfer RNA is filed under the name Rhodovibrio salinarum. RNAcentral describes it as "tRNA-Glu". It matches the Rfam family "tRNA". Rfam says of the family: Transfer RNA (tRNA) molecules are approximately 80 nucleotides in length. Their secondary structure includes four short double-helical elements and three loops (D, anti-codon, and T loops). Further hydrogen bonds mediate the characteristic L-shaped molecular structure. tRNAs have two regions of fundamental functional importance: the anti-codon, which is responsible for specific mRNA codon recognition, and the 3' end, to which the tRNAs corresponding amino acid is attached (by aminoacyl-tRNA synthetases). tRNAs cope with the degeneracy of the genetic code in two manners: having more than one tRNA (with a specific anti-codon) for a particular amino acid; and 'wobble' base-pairing, i.e. permitting non-standard base-pairing at the 3rd anti-codon position. Lineage: Bacteria; Pseudomonadati; Pseudomonadota; Alphaproteobacteria; Rhodospirillales; Rhodovibrionaceae. The record is from RNAcentral.